CAUCGCAUCCUGGGGCUGUAGGCGGUCCCAAGGGUUGGGCUGUUCGCCCAUUAAAGCGGUACGCGAGCUGGGUUCAGACCGGCGUGAGCCAGGUCGGUCCCUAUCUGCUGUGGGCGCUGCAUUAUUGACCAGAUUUCUCCCUAGUACGAGAGGAUUGGGAGGGACUCACCCCUGGUGUGCCAGCUGGACCGCUCGGUCCACCGCUGGGUAGCUAAGUGGGGCAGGGAUAACCGCUGAAAGCAUCUAAGCGGGAAGCCCUCUGGAAGAUGAGUAAUGCACGUUCAUUUUGAAUGAGAGACCCCCGGAAGACCACCGGGUUGAUAGGCCGCACGUGUAAGGGCAGAAAUGCCUUCAGCGAAGCGGUACUAAUGGUCGAGGCCUGGUCAUC
RNAcentral lists this ribosomal RNA (388 nucleotides) under Phycisphaerae bacterium. Its description in RNAcentral is "bacterial LSU rRNA". It matches the Rfam family "Bacterial large subunit ribosomal RNA", at positions 2538 to 2925 of the family's 2925-position model. The record is from RNAcentral. Lineage: Bacteria; Pseudomonadati; Planctomycetota; Phycisphaerae.